GCAUUUGUUAUCUAACAAAAUGAAUUUUAUUUACUUGAUCGAUUCAAGUAGAUCACGAUUCAAAUGGUUUUGGCAGGUGAAGGUCAGAGCCCAGUUCUGUGCCUUGGAACAGAGCAAGUGGCGUUGCUUUGGGGCGAACACGGGGUCACUGAAACGCCUGGGGUUACGGGGCUGGAAGAUCCUCCGUGCCUUGUGCCGUUCCCAAUCCGCAAACCUCACGGAUUCUUUAGCGUCUUUGCUCCGUGACGCUUCAGAAAUGCAGCGGUCCGGCUUCGCAGGGGGUGCUCGCAGCCAGCAGCGGAUGGACCGUGUCUCCGCUGACUUGUGGCAGUGCAAAUUCGGCGGCACCGGGGGAAAUGCCCCGGGAGAUCUGCGCCCUGGGGCAACAGGGUCCCCCGGCCAGCGAGAGACGCUCGGCAGGAAGGAAUGAGUGGUGAGAUGCUUCUCUCGCAUCUUGCCGCAAGCAAAGUGUUUCAAAAGUCAGCAGCGUCCAGACAUCUGGAGCCUUCUGUCUCCGGCAUCUACCUGUGCGGGACAGGCUGGCCGGGGAGCUGCCACCGCCCGGCCGGCGGGAGGGCCGGCGCUGCCUGUCGCUGCUCCCCAUCGCAUCAGCCCCGCCGCCCCUCUGCCCCGUUCCCCGGCCCG
Molecule: long non-coding RNA, 645 nt
Filed under: Zonotrichia albicollis (white-throated sparrow)
Lineage: Eukaryota; Metazoa; Chordata; Aves; Passeriformes; Passerellidae
Description: lncRNA (ENSZALG00000010106.1)
Source: RNAcentral